AUCCCAUGAUGUGGACACUUUCGCAGCAUAUUUUGGAACCUAUUCCAGGCUUUAUCAAAGUUUUCUAAGUCGCUUUGAUGGAAAACAGAUAUGUCAUGCUUUAGCUU
This 107-nucleotide small nucleolar RNA is filed under the name Olea europaea subsp. europaea. Its description in RNAcentral is "Plant small nucleolar RNA R71". It matches the Rfam family "Plant small nucleolar RNA R71". Rfam says of the family: R71 is a member of the C/D box family of snoRNAs containing the C (UGAUGA) and D (CUGA) box motifs. Multiple nearly identical copies of this snoRNA have been identified in Arabidopsis, and it is thought to function as a 2'-O-ribose methylation guide for 18S ribosomal RNA. The record is from Rfam by way of RNAcentral. Lineage: Eukaryota; Viridiplantae; Streptophyta; Magnoliopsida; Lamiales; Oleaceae.